UACGUGGGGGGCAAGCGUUGUCCGGAUUUAUUGGGCGUAAAGAGCGUGUAGGCGGUUUGGUAGGUCCGUUGUGAAAACUCGAGGCUCAACCUCGAGACGCCGAUGGAAACCAUCAGACUAGAGUCCGGAAGAGGAGAGUGGAAUUCCUGGUGUAGCGGUGAAAUGCGCAGAUAUCAGGAAGAACACCCGUGGCUAAGGCGGCUCUCUAGUACGGUACUGACGCUGAGACGCGAAAGCGUGGGGAGCGAACAGG
RNAcentral lists this ribosomal RNA (253 nucleotides) under uncultured bacterium. RNAcentral's name for it is "partial 16S ribosomal RNA". It matches the Rfam family "Bacterial small subunit ribosomal RNA", at positions 524 to 776 of the family's 1533-position model. The record is from RNAcentral.